Macrobrachium nipponense is the source of this 157-nucleotide long non-coding RNA. RefSeq lists it as uncharacterized. The record is from RefSeq and is a predicted model, not a curated record. The transcript has 2 exons. Lineage: Eukaryota; Metazoa; Arthropoda; Malacostraca; Decapoda; Palaemonidae.
CAGUUAGAAGUCGUGUGAAGAUUUGGAAAUAAGUGACGAUUGGGGAACUCUUAAAAGAUCUGAAGGGUUCGUCCUCAGCGACGCGUCACGUCCGAAAGGAACACGUCCCGUCUCAUGCCGACGGAACACGCCCUUGGCAAUGGUGCGUCCUAAUCGA